Molecule: long non-coding RNA, 2376 nt
Organism: Manacus vitellinus (golden-collared manakin)
Lineage: Eukaryota; Metazoa; Chordata; Aves; Passeriformes; Pipridae
Source: Ensembl
CCCCUUGACAAAGGGUCAGGCAGCCAGGCUGUCCUGUGCAUCCUUUGGAGUAGGUUACAGAUCCCUGGGCUUUGCUUGGGGACAGCACACUGCCCUGGCACAGGGUCUGGGUGGGAAGAGAGGAUGUCCCUCCUCUGUCUCACAACCCCCUGGCAGUUUCGUGGGUCACAGCACGUCUCUAACGGCUCGCCCUGAGCUGCAAGCUGGGAUUUGUUCCUCUGUGGGGCUGCUUCCCCCGUUGCCAUUAUUUACACCCAGUGCUAUCAGUUCCUGACUAUCUGCAGCAGAGAGGUUUGUGUAAACUGCUGCUGCUGCAUUUCCAGACUGUCUCACGGUCACCAGUUCCUGCUCGGCUCUUCCUGUCAGACGGGUUUGUCUGAUUUCCUUCAGGGAUGGGUGAAAGUGAUGGAAUGGGUCUUAGGACUGGCACCUACAGGAGUUUGUGCCCUGGCACGGUGAUGCCCAUGGCUUGUUCCUACUUUGUCAGGCUGGGGAUUUACAUGGCUGACCUUGCAGAUGCCCAUUCAGGGAAUCCACGUGUUUGAUCCAUGCAGGAUGGUGAAUUUCCAUUCCCAAUGGUCCAUGGCUGAUGUGUAGCUUUGAUUUCCUUGGGGACCUCAUGGUGGUGGUGAUGCUGUGCCAUCCCCAGAACAGCCAUGGCCUCAGCCUUUUACCACCAACCCUUGUGCAUCUCAUUGUCCAACCUCUUUGCAGAGACAACUGCCAUGGGUGUGACAGCAGCCACGUCCCCAUCUCCCCCCACCUCCUCAAUAUCUAUGGAGACCUCUGCACAGCUGCCCACCACUGACUCCACCACUGCAGCCACCCUCUCUCCCUCCAGCCCUGAAACAGAAGCUUCCACCCCAGAGAGGUCCAGCACAUCCCCAGGGACUGGCAGCACCCCAACUCCCACCACGCCUCCUCCCACCACAACAACAGCUACUUCAUCUGAGCCCUUGACAACCCUGGCAAACACCACGGCCAGCCCUGUUAUCAGCACGGAGGUCCCCCUGAGCACCCCCUCUCCCAGCCACCCGGCCAGGACCACAUCCAGGACUACCCCUGGCAUCUUCCCCCCAACUAUGGAGUCGACUCCAGGCAUUGAGUUCUCUUUCCCCACCACGAACUCGACCCAGACCUCAGAGGUUACCCACAGCACCUCUGCAGACCUGCCAAUGCCGCCACCCGUCUGCCCCACUGGCUCAUCCAACACCAGUGCAUCUCGCCUCUUCCUGUCUCUGCGGCUAAGCACCCCCCUGGACCUGGGGAACAGCACGGUGCAGGAGCUGGUGUUGUCCAAGCUCCGUGAGAACCUUCAGACAGCAUUCCCGUGCGCUGGCCUGUCAUUGGAAUGGCGAGGGAAGAGGAGCCCCUGACCACUGCCCCUCGCCCUGCCAGCUCCCACAUGUACUGGCGAGUCAUCUGCUCCCGGCUCCUUACUCCAUGGCAGUGCAGCCCCUUGGGGUAACCUGCACAGCUCCUCUUGAACUUGGGGCUCCCCGUCCUUCCCUGUGCCCCUCCAGUGCCCCCCGUGGGCUGCGGUGCCCCUGCCCCUUCCCACAGCCUGUCUGUAAAGGCCAACACCUCCCACCACCCUGCUCCAGACCCGGCUCCUGUGGUGUGACCCCUUCCAGCGCUGCCAGGGGGCUGGAAGGAGAGGACCCUGCGGGACUGGGCUUUUACAGCUGGGACUGUGCUGGCUCAGCCAUCAAAGCCACCCUGGGGACUGAUAGAUGAGAGGAAGGAGACCUGGAGCCCCCAGUACUGCUGUGCCCAAGGCUCACCUGCGGUAUUGCUGACAGAGGAGCAGGCCCGUGCCAACACGGGCCGGGCAGUAAAUAGAAACUCCAUGCUUUCUGUGUUGAAGUUGAUGACUUCUUUAUUUUUCAAGUUGCCUUUCACAAUUUUCAGCUUUGCCAUCUGUUGGAGGUACAGGAGAGGAAAGCCGCCCGAGUCUCAAAAGCUUCACAUGGAGAGACAGGCUCAGGGCUGUCCCCUCCUGGCAGGGGCGGCCACAGACAUUCCCGAGGAUGGCUGGGAACUCCAGCAGACGGGGGUCCCUGCUUUGGUGCUCUCUGCCCCAUGGCACCCCACAGCUGCUGGGGCAGUUCUACACACCACGGGGCCGUGGAAAUCCUGUGGGCUGUGCUCCUUCCCUGUUUUUUUCCAGUCCCCAGCUAAGGAGACGGCCGCAACAUCUGUCCCCCUGCAGCAAAGUCAUUUAUUAACUGAUUAAUUAGCCAGAUAAAAUCCAACUGAAGCAAUUAUUAGCCUAAGCAAGUCACCUCGCCUGGAGAUUGAAAACUAAAAUAAUUAGAAAAUAGCCCUGUUGCGUGUCAGGGAUUGUUUUUGGCUGAUCCCUAUUCCUCACUGGCA